RNA transcript from Arabidopsis thaliana (thale cress), 499 nucleotides. RefSeq lists it as uncharacterized. Lineage: Eukaryota; Viridiplantae; Streptophyta; Magnoliopsida; Brassicales; Brassicaceae. The transcript has a single exon. The record is from RefSeq.
AAAUUGGAAACAAAAGGAAAAAGUCUUUGAAUGUAUGCACAAUGAAAACAUCAAUGAAUAGGGAAGACUUCAUUACACCAACCUAACACUCGUGCAUGCUAUGUUUCCUUGUUGUGCGAGAGCAAGUACGGUGAACAUACUCUGCCGCUAUGGCUCUUCCACAAAUCAAUAAGUGGCUGGUCGUCUUACCAUCUUAUGUUUCGGGUAUACUGGAUAUCGGAAUCCGUUCCAAACAACCUCUUAUAGAUAUCACACUAAACAUUACUAAAAGAGAUCAAUGCCCAUUAUAAAACAUCAAAAUAGAGAGAUACAUAUUUCACAGAACAUCACCGUAGAAAUUCAUUAAAUUUAAGAGUUUACUCGCUCGUAUCAUCCAAUACGGUUGGUUUUUCUCUUAAACGAUUCUUAAGCGUCGAGAGUCUUUUGAAGGCCGAAUAACCUUUGAUAAUAUAUUCCGUAAUGCAUACUUUAUUACGCUCAAAAUUCUUCAUUACAUUUG